RNAcentral lists this ribosomal RNA (219 nucleotides) under uncultured soil bacterium. Its description in RNAcentral is "partial 16S ribosomal RNA". It matches the Rfam family "Bacterial small subunit ribosomal RNA", at positions 86 to 306 of the family's 1533-position model. The record is from RNAcentral.
GGUACACGAGCGGCGAACGGGUGAGUAACACGUGAGCAACCUACCCUUCACUUCGGGAUAAGCCUCGGAAACGGGGUCUAAUACCGGAUAUCACUUGCCACUUCAUGGUGGUUGGUUGAAAGUUCUGGCGGUGGGGGAUGGGCUCGCGGCCUAUCAGCUUGUUGGUGGGGUAAUGGCCUACCAAGGCGUCGACGGGUAGCCGGCCUGAGAGGGCGACCG